AUGGAGGAGCGCGGAGGUGGCCGUGAAUCUAGGAGGAGGUGGCGGGGACAGGGCGCCGUACAACUGCCCGACGAUGAUACGCGAUCCGAAGAGGAUGAGGUGCUAUUUGAGGAUCUCUUUGGUCAUGCGUUUGAUGGAGUGAAGGUGCUACUUGAGGAUUCUUUUGUUUCCGCAUCUGAUAGCAAGAGCCCCAAGAAUAAUCUGAAGUGUAGAUCAUUUAGUGUUUCUACUCUUUGCUCACCUUCAAGGUUUCUACCUGAGAAGUUUGGAGGCAACUCACAUGGAUUUCAUUACAUUGGUAACCUUGCUGAUGCUACAAUUAUGAAUGUUGAACUUUGUUGUGAGAAGCAAUUCAAUAAGUUGGACCUAGGGCCUCCCAAUUUUGACAGCAUCUGUGGAAUUAUACUGGCACAAAAGGUGAAGUGCUGGCAGAUCAGGUGUCUAACUAAAGCCCCGCAAGCUGCUGGUGCAAUUCACACUGAUUUUGAAAGAGGCUUCAUGUGUACUGAGGUUCAUGAUCCUUUGAUAUCCAUUCUAAUGUAUCAGAGAAAACUGCUGAACAAGAUGUUCUCUUCACGCCAUGUCUUAUCUCAGUUGCAAUAUUUAGAUUUUUUUCAUCAAGGAAGCAGAGGAAGGCAAUGA
Molecule: ribosomal RNA, 642 nt
Filed under: Triticum aestivum (bread wheat)
Lineage: Eukaryota; Viridiplantae; Streptophyta; Magnoliopsida; Poales; Poaceae
Description: partial small subunit ribosomal RNA
Source: RNAcentral